This 253-nucleotide ribosomal RNA is filed under the name uncultured bacterium. RNAcentral describes it as "partial 16S ribosomal RNA". It matches the Rfam family "Bacterial small subunit ribosomal RNA", at positions 524 to 776 of the family's 1533-position model. The record is from RNAcentral.
UACAGAGGUCCCAAGCGUUGUUCGGAUUCAUUGGGCGUAAAGGGUGCGUAGGUGGCGGUGUAAGUCGGAUGUGAAAUCACGGGGCUCAACCUCGGAACUGCAUUCGAUACUGCCUUGCUAGAGUACUGGAGAGGAGAUCGGAAUUUACGGUGUAGCAGUGAAAUGCGUAGAUAUCGUAAGGAAGACCAGUGGCGAAGGCGGCUCACUGGACAGUUACUGACACUGAGGCACGAAGGCCAGGGGAGCAAACGGG